GGGUUCCUGGCCUAGUAUGGAUAAGGCACUUGCCUGCGGAGCAAGAGAUCCCGUGUUCAAAUCACGGGGAACCCG
This 75-nucleotide transfer RNA is filed under the name Promethearchaeota archaeon. RNAcentral describes it as "Candidatus Lokiarchaeota archaeon (microbial mat metagenome) tRNA-Arg". It matches the Rfam family "tRNA". From Rfam's summary of the family: Transfer RNA (tRNA) molecules are approximately 80 nucleotides in length. Their secondary structure includes four short double-helical elements and three loops (D, anti-codon, and T loops). The record is from RNAcentral. Lineage: Archaea; Promethearchaeati; Promethearchaeota.